CUGUGAGAAAUUCUGAUUGACAAGAGGGCAGAUUCUAAGCUGGGAGCAGGGCAGAGGGGACAAUGUGACAGUCCCUGGCGAGAAAGACAUGUCCCCACGUGCGUGCUGCGAGGCCCCACUGGUGUCAGAUGGAUCACAAAGCUCCUCUUUGGUCAUUGCUGCAUCUAAUCGUGCUGCACAUGGACUGAAGCCUCUGAACCGUGAGCCGAAAUAAACCUCUCCUCUCUCAAGUUGUGGGUGGCAGAUUCUUUGCUCCGCCAAGAGGAAAAGUGACUGACAGUGCACCUCUGACUUCUGUGUCUAUCAGUUAGCAGAUACAAGUCUGUUUCUCUAAAUCGGUUACUGAGGGCUUCAGAAAUCCCAGGGAAGGCACCAGUCACUCGGUUCGUUUCAGCAGUAUUUAUUUGUGACGUCCUGCUCAGUGCAGCAGUCAUCUUUUCUGCCAUCCACAUGAUCUUUAUGUGCCAUGGCCACCUGGCAGGCUCCGUUCAGGACCUAGUGAGCCUUAUAGGUGGGAUGAUUUCCAGGUUUAUGAAUGACUUUUCCAUUAUUAUGGAAUUAAUCCUUUUGAUUUGGGGUUCUGG
Long non-coding RNA from Heterocephalus glaber (naked mole-rat), 584 nucleotides. Lineage: Eukaryota; Metazoa; Chordata; Mammalia; Rodentia; Bathyergidae. The record is from Ensembl.